UCGAGAAUGUCUGCAGAAGCAAGUUUAAGGCACAAGCUUAGUAAAAAACUCAAACUUGAUACUGGAAAAUCGUAGAAUUCCAAGGGAAGGAAUAAAUCUUACAAGGGAGGGAAUUUUGGACUGAGGAAUUUAAAGUCAGGAGUACACGGCAGAGAAGACCGCCGUGGUGGUCGAGAAGAGAGUGGUCAUGAAGUUUAUGGGAAGGGAAGGUUUGAACUUUUUAAUUCUGAUGGGAAAAGGAAAAGAGUUUAUGCGGACCAAUAUGGGGAUUGGGAGGCAACAAACAACAGAAAGGUGCAAAAUACUAAAGCUUUAGCUAAGAAAGGGCAUGGUAAGGUGAAAGAUGUUCCUGUUAAAAGCAAAAGUGGUGAAACUAAAACAUGAAUUCGGUUAGCCGGGAAUAUUAGGUAGCGGAGGGUCAGACCCCCGGAGGGAACUUUCAGAAAGAGCGGACGGAGCGGAUUAGCUUUCUUGUCUUCUCUUUGCUCUUUGAACGAGGGCGAGCAACUCUCUAAGUAUCAGCGAGUCAUUCCGCGGUUGACUUUGACCUUCCCUUGAUCUACUUGUUCAGCUGAGAUUGUCACUUCCUAGGAAUCCGGUGAAAUGAAUCAAUCUCGGUAUGUUAUGAAGUUUCCCUCCUCCUUACCUUCCCUCUUCGCUACAUAUGGAUUUCUAAUAGAUUAGAGGCUGCUACUUCAGAAACAAAACGUUAUUCUAGUAAAGCCAAGCAUAAUAGUGCACAAGUAUCUAGCAGUAAAUGGAGUACCAAGGCAAACGAGGCAAAUAAAUUUGAUGAUGACAGAAAUGGUUUGUUGAACAAUGAAACUAAAAACAAAUUUGACUCUAGUAAACGGAGCACCAAAAUGAAGGAAGUAGAUCAAUUGGAUAAUGAGAGAAACGAUUUGUUGAAGAAACAAAACAAAAUCAAUUAUGACUCAAGAAAGUGGUUGGAUCAAAGUCGAAGCAAACACUCUAAUUUAUCUCCUUCAUUUCCUAUCAAGAAAAGUGUUCUAGACAAAAAAAAGAACGCUGACAAUGACUCAGAGACUCUGGAUGACCAGCCAAAGAAGAGAAAGCGGAUUAGAUUAGAUCCAUAAGACACCUCGAAUAAGCGACUUGAUGAUGGGAUAAUUUCUGAUGGUAUGAAUAUUAUUGAGUUACUGUCGUUGUUGCAGUGAUUCUGAACAACAAAAAUAACAAAGGAUAAUGCUUG
This 1213-nucleotide long non-coding RNA is filed under the name Populus trichocarpa (black cottonwood). RNAcentral's name for it is "long non-coding RNA (PTRI_LNC003164)". The record is from RNAcentral. Lineage: Eukaryota; Viridiplantae; Streptophyta; Magnoliopsida; Malpighiales; Salicaceae.